CCAAUAGCGUAUAUUAAAGUUGUUGCAGUUAAAAAGCUCGUAGUUGAAUUUCGAGAUCAGUACGCUGGUCGUGCCUUCGGUAUGCACUGGUGUCACUGGUUUCUCCCUUCUGAAGAACCGUCAUGUCAUUAAGUUGGUGUGGCGGGGAAUCAGGACUGUUACUUUGAAAAAAUUAGAGUGUUUAAAGCAGGCUCGCGCUUGAAUACAUUAGCAUGGAAUAAUGAAAUAGGACGUUUGACCCUAUUUUGUUGGUUUCUAGGAUCGACGUAAUGAUUAAUAGGGAUAGUUGGGGGCAUUAGUAUUCAAUUGUCAGAGGUGAAAUUCUUGGAUUUAUUGAAGACUAACUACUGCGAAAGCAUUUGCCAAGGAUGUUUUCAUUAAUCAAGAACGAAAGUUAGGGGAUCGAAGACGAUCAGAUACCGUCGUAGUCUUAACCAUAAACUAUGCCGACUAGGGAUCGGAUGAUGUUAAUUUUUUAAUGACUCAUUCGGCGCCUUACG
RNAcentral lists this ribosomal RNA (500 nucleotides) under uncultured Glomeromycotina. RNAcentral describes it as "partial small subunit ribosomal RNA". It matches the Rfam family "Eukaryotic small subunit ribosomal RNA", at positions 591 to 1092 of the family's 1831-position model. Lineage: Eukaryota; Fungi; Glomeromycota. The record is from RNAcentral.